CCCUUAGAUGUUCUGGGCCGCACGCGCGCUACACUGACGAUGGCAACGAGUUUUUCCUUCGCCGAAAGGUGUGGGUAAUCUUUUGAAACAUCGUCGUGCUGGGGAUAGAUCAUUGCAAUUUUUGAUCUUGAACGAGGAAUUCCUAGUAAGCGCAAGUCAGCAGCUUGCGCUGAUUACGUCCCUGCCCUUUGUACACACCGCCCGUCGCUCCUACCGAGUGGGUGAUCCGGUGAAUGACUCGGACUCUGGCAUUGCUAGCAACAUAGCUUCGCCGGAGGAAGUUUUGUGAACCUUAUCACUUGGAGGAAGGAGAAGUCGUAACA
RNAcentral lists this ribosomal RNA (323 nucleotides) under uncultured eukaryote. Its description in RNAcentral is "partial 18S ribosomal RNA". It matches the Rfam family "Eukaryotic small subunit ribosomal RNA", at positions 1470 to 1796 of the family's 1831-position model. The record is from RNAcentral.